ACACAUGCAGUCGAACGGUGAAGCAGAGCUUGCUCUGUGGAUCAGUGGCGAACGGGUGAGUAACACGUGAGCAAUCUGCCCCUGACUCUGGGAUAAGCGCUGGAAACGGCGUCUAAUACCGGAUACGAGCUGCGACCGCAUGGUCAGUAGCUGGAAAGAAUUUCGGUCAGGGAUGAGCUCGCGGCCUAUCAGCUUGUUGGUGAGGUAAUGGCUCACCAAGGCGUCGACGGGUAGCCGGCCUGAGAGGGUGACCGGCCACACUGGGACUGAGACACGGCCCAGACUCCUACGGGAGGCAGCAGUGGGGAAUAUUGCACAAUGGGCGAAAGCCUGAUGCAGCAACGCCGCGUGAGGGAUGACGGCCUUCGGGUUGUAAACCUCUUUUAGCAGGGAAGAAGCGAAAGUGACGGUACCUGCAGAAAAAGCGCCGGCUAACUACGUGCCAGCAGCCGCGGUAAUACGUAGGGCGCAAGCGUUAUCCGGAAUUAUUGGGCGUAAAGAGCUCGUAGGCGGUCUGUCGCGUCUGCUGUGAAAACCCGAGGCUCAACCUCGGGCCUGCAGUGGGUACGGGCAGACUAGAGUGCGGUAGGGGAGAUUGGAAUUCCUGGUGUAGCGGUGGAAUGCGCAGAUAUCAGGAGGAACACCGAUGGCGAAGGCAGAUCUCUGGGCCGUAACUGACGCUGAGGAGCGAAAGGGUGGGGAGCAAACAGGCUUAGAUACCCUGGUAGUCCACCCCGUAAACGUUGGGAACUAGUUGUGGGGUCCAUUCCACGGAUUCCGUGACGCAGCUAACGCAUUAAGUUCCCCGCCUGGGGAGUACGGCCGCAAGGCUAAAACUCAAAGGAAUUGACGGGGACCCGCACAAGCGGCGGAGCAUGCGGAUUAAUUCGAUGCAACGCGAAGAACCUUACCAAGGCUUGACAUAUAGAGGAAACGUCUGGAAACAGUCGCCCCGCAAGGUCUCUAUACAGGUGGUGCAUGGUUGUCGUCAGCUCGUGUCGUGAGAUGUUGGGUUAAGUCCCGCAACGAGCGCAACCCUCGUUCUAUGUUGCCAGCACGUAAUGGUGGGAACUCAUGGGAUACUGCCGGGGUCAACUCGGAGGAAGGUGGGGAUGACGUCAAAUCAUCAUGCCCCUUAUGUCUUGGGCUUCACGCAUGCUACAAUGGCCGGUACAAAGGGCUGCAAUACCGUGAGGUGGAGCGAAUCCCAAAAAGCCGGUCCCAGUUCGGAUUGAGGUCUGCAACUCGACCUCAUGAAGUCGGAGUCGCUAGUAAUCGCAGAUCAGC
RNAcentral lists this ribosomal RNA (1287 nucleotides) under Microbacterium sp. LC202. Its description in RNAcentral is "bacterial SSU rRNA". It matches the Rfam family "Bacterial small subunit ribosomal RNA", at positions 51 to 1353 of the family's 1533-position model. The record is from RNAcentral. Lineage: Bacteria; Bacillati; Actinomycetota; Actinomycetes; Micrococcales; Microbacteriaceae.